This 570-nucleotide ribosomal RNA is filed under the name uncultured Thermoprotei archaeon. RNAcentral describes it as "bacterial SSU rRNA". It matches the Rfam family "Archaeal small subunit ribosomal RNA", at positions 788 to 1358 of the family's 1478-position model. The record is from RNAcentral. Lineage: Archaea; Thermoproteati; Thermoproteota; Thermoprotei.
AGUCCGCCCAGUGCCGUAGGGAAACCAUAAAGCCCGCCGCCUGGCGAGUACGGCCGCAAGGCUGAAACUUAAAGGAAUUGGCGGGGGAGCACCACAAGGGGUGAAUGCUGCGGUUUAAUUGGAGUCAACGCCGGGAACCUUACCGGGGGCGACAGCAGGAUGACGGCCAGGCUGACGACCUUGCCAGACGCGCUGAGAGGAGGUACAUCGCCGUCGCCAGUUCGUGCCGUGAGGUGUCCGGUUAAGUUCGGCAACGAACGAGACCCCCACCCCCAGUUGCUACCGCACCCCUGCGGGGGUACGGGCACUCUGGGGGGACUGCCGGCGCUGAGCCGGAGGAAGGAGGGGGCCACGGCAGGUCAGCAUGCCCCGAAACCCCCGGGCCACACGCGGCAUGCAAUGGUGGGGACAAUGGGUUCCGACCCCGAAAGGGGGAGGCAAUCCCAUAAACCCCACCUCAGUUGGGAUUGAGGGCUGCAACUCGCCCUCACGAACAUGGAAUCCCUAGUAACCGCGCGUCACCAUCGCGCGGUGAUACGUCCUGCUCCUUGCACACACCGCCCGUCAAGG